UGCGACGGUCUAAGGAGCAGUCCUAUGCGUCCACCCACCAUGCGUCCACCUGUCCACCACUAAACAAGUUGCAAGGUCAGAUGUGUUGUCCUCCUACCCCCAACUUCCGGUCCUAGUUCCAGUAGGCCCUUGUUGGUCUACCUGUGAGAGUACCUGAGCUACAUCUCUGAAGGUGAGCACUCGUACAGAGACACUAUUGAGUGCUAGUACGCAGAGGCACGGAUGCACAGAAGGUUAACCCAAGCAUAGAUGAGUACAGAAUCCACCCGACCAUGUUUUUGUAGGCUUUCACCACAUCAGGCCUUAUGU
Molecule: long non-coding RNA, 309 nt
Organism: Sardina pilchardus (European sardine)
Lineage: Eukaryota; Metazoa; Chordata; Actinopteri; Clupeiformes; Clupeidae
Exons: 3
Source: RefSeq, a predicted model, not a curated record